This 468-nucleotide ribosomal RNA is filed under the name uncultured bacterium. RNAcentral describes it as "partial 16S ribosomal RNA". It matches the Rfam family "Bacterial small subunit ribosomal RNA", at positions 28 to 507 of the family's 1533-position model. The record is from RNAcentral.
GACGAACGCUGGCGGCGUGCUUAACACAUGCAAGUCGAACGGAAAGGCCCUGCUUUUGUGGGGUGCUCGAGUGGCGAACGGGUGAGUAACACGUGAGUAACCUGCCCUUGCCUUUGGGAUAACUUCAGGAAACUGGGGCUAAUACCGGAUAGGAGCUCCUGCUGCAUGGUGGGGGUUGGAAAGUUUCGGCGGUUGGGGAUGGACUCGCGGCUUAUCAGCUUGUUGGUGGGGUAGUGGCUUACCAAGGCUUUGACGGGUAGCCGGCCUGAGAGGGUGACCGGCCACAUUGGGACUGAGAUACGGCCCAGACUCCUACGGGAGGCAGCAGUGGGGAAUAGUGCACAAUGGGCGGAAGCCUGAUGCAGCAACGCCGCGUGCGGGAUGACGGCCUUCGGGUUGUAAACCGCUUUCGCCUGUGACGAAGCGUGAGUGACGGUAAUGGGUAAAGAAGCACCGGCUAACUACGUG